AUUGAACGCUGGCGGCAUGCCUUACACAUGCAAGUCGAACGGCAGCACGGGUGCUUGCACCUGGUGGCGAGUGGCGAACGGGUGAGUAAUGCAUCGGAACGUACCCGGAAGUGGGGGAUAACGUAGCGAAAGUUACGCUAAUACCGCAUAUUCUGUGAGCAGGAAAGGAGGGGACCUUCGGGCCUUUCGCGAUUGGAUGAACCCAGGUGGGAUUAGCUAGUUGGUGGGGUAAUGGCUCACCAAGGCGACGAUCCCUAGCUGGUCUGAGAGGAUGAUCAGCCACACUGGAACUGAGACACGGUCCAGACUCCUACGGGAGGCAGCAGUGGGGAAUUUUGGACAAUGGACGCAAGUCUGAUCCAGCCAUUCCGCGUGCAGGACGAAGGCCUUCGGGUUGUAAACUGCUUUUGUACGGAACGAAACGGCUCUGGUUAAUACCCGGGGCUAAUGACGGUACCGUAAGAAUAAGCACCGGCUAACUACGUG
Molecule: ribosomal RNA, 486 nt
Filed under: uncultured bacterium
Lineage: Bacteria
Description: bacterial SSU rRNA
Rfam family: Bacterial small subunit ribosomal RNA
Source: RNAcentral